Long non-coding RNA from Lolium rigidum, 684 nucleotides. RefSeq lists it as uncharacterized. The transcript is spliced from 3 exons. The record is from RefSeq and is a predicted model, not a curated record. NCBI's taxonomy places the organism in Eukaryota, Viridiplantae, Streptophyta, Magnoliopsida, Poales, Poaceae.
UACAAUGUAUGUUUUAUUCGUUCACGUUCGCUGAAUUUAUAAAUUCUUUGCCUAUGUGAGGUUAAUUGUCUAUUCACAAUUCAUGCUUAAUAUAUCAGUGUUACGUGGAAAUGCAAUUGCUACUUGCAUUGACUUUUUUCUUGUUUGCGUUGUUAUGUUUCCUGCUGUCGAAAUCUGUACUGUGGGCAGACUAAAGAUGAGGAUGUCUACAAUAUGACUAUGACAAUGUUGGUUUCUAAUAGCAAAAAAGUCUGAAAAAAGCAGCUCAACAAAAUUCAUUCUGAGUGUUGUCCCGCUCCUCUCUAUCCUCCAUCUAUAAACAUGAGUUGUUCAGAUCUGCGAAAGAAGAGAAGGGGACAAAUCUAGGGGAAAAGUUUGGUGAAAAAGAAGAAUGAGGAUUUUGAGGCUGCUCCGCCGUUCCAUUUGGUUUAGCUUCCCAAAAUCAAAGGGACAGGUCGUUUGGUCAUCUUUAUUCUUCACACAGAUAUGCACAGGCAGAGCACAACAGCAUUCCAAACCGAGGCUGCUCAGCAUGUUUUGGUGUCCAGCAGAUUCCUUCUUUUCUCAUGUUUACUGUUGGCAUUAGCAUUUGUUUCAAGUGAUGUUUAUUCUCGUAUUUGUAAAGCAUUGAUUCAUUCAGUUCAGUAGCACCCAGCCUGGUGUAAUGUUUCUGAUUCUUGUGAA